CCUACGGGUGGCAGCAGUGGGGGAUAUUGCACAAUGGGGGAAACCCUGAUGCAGCGACGCCGCGUGGGUGAAGAAGCGCCUCGGCGCGUAAAGCCCUGUCAGCAGGGAAGAAAAUGACGGUACCUGAAGAAGAAGCCACGGCUAACUACGUGCCAGCAGCCGCGGUAAUACGUAGGGGGCACGCGUAAUGCGGAUUUACUGGGUGUAAAGGGAGCGCAGACGGCGAUGCAAGCCAGGAGUGAAAGCCCGUGGAACAACCCGGGGACUGCUCGUGGAGCUGCGUGGCUAGAGUGCAGGAGGGGCGAGCGGAAUUCCUGGUGUAGCGGUGGAAUGCGUAGAUAUCAGGAGGAACACCGGUGGCGAAGGCGGCCUGCUGGACUGCAACUGACGUAGAGGCGCGAAAGCGUGGGGAGCAAACAGGAUUAGAUACCCGAGUAGUC
RNAcentral lists this ribosomal RNA (440 nucleotides) under uncultured bacterium. RNAcentral describes it as "partial 16S ribosomal RNA". It matches the Rfam family "Bacterial small subunit ribosomal RNA", at positions 338 to 795 of the family's 1533-position model. The record is from RNAcentral.